This 253-nucleotide ribosomal RNA is filed under the name uncultured bacterium. Its description in RNAcentral is "partial 16S ribosomal RNA". It matches the Rfam family "Bacterial small subunit ribosomal RNA", at positions 524 to 776 of the family's 1533-position model. The record is from RNAcentral.
UACAGAGGGGGCAAGCGUUGUUCGGAAUUACUGGGCGUAAAGGGCGCGUAGGCGGCCGCCUAAGUCAGACGUGAAAUCCCUCGGCUCAACCGGGGAACUGCGUCUGAUACUGGGUGGCUUGAAUCCGGGAGAGGGAUGCGGAAUUCCAGGUGUAGCGGUGAAAUGCGUAGAUAUCUGGAGGAACACCGGUGGCGAAGGCGGCAUCCUGGACCGAGAUUGACGCUGAGGCGCGAAAGCCAGGGGAGCAAACGGG